UGUAUAAACAUUCCAGACGUCGAUUUAAGGCCCAGAUUUUUAACAGUAUUCACUGCAUAAACCAUCCUAUGAUGCUUUUGCAUUAGAGUUCUUGGGUGCGACUCAAUAAGAUUUUCGAGGAUAUGAGGAGGCACACCUUCUUUUUUUAAGAAAUCCAUAUUUGGUUGCAUUGUACCCUUCAAAUUAAACGUCAACAACCAUGA
RNAcentral lists this unclassified non-coding RNA (203 nucleotides) under Hevea brasiliensis (rubber tree). The record is from RNAcentral. Lineage: Eukaryota; Viridiplantae; Streptophyta; Magnoliopsida; Malpighiales; Euphorbiaceae.